UAGUCCACGCCGUAAACGAUCAUCACUCGCUGUUGGCGAUAUACUGUCAGCGGCCAAGCGAAAGUAUUAAGUGAUGCACCUGGGGAGUACGCCGGCAACGGUGAAACUCAAAGGAAUUGACGGGGGCCCGCACAAGCGGUGGAGCAUGUGGUUUAAUUCGAUGAUACGCGAGGAACCUUACCAGGGCUUAAAUGUAGUAUGACCGGUCUGGAAACAGACCUUCUCUUCGGAGCAGAUUACAAGGUGCUGCAUGGUUGUCGUCAGCUCGUGCCGUGAGGUGUUAGGUUAAGUCCUGCAACGAGCGCAACCCUUGUCUUUAGUUGCCAUCAUUAAGUUGGGCACUUUAAAGAGACUGCCGGUGACAAACCGGAGGAAGGUAAGGAUGACGUCAAGUCAGCAUGCCCCUUAUGCUCUGGGCUACACACGUGCUACAAUGGCCGUGACAAAGAGUUGCUACUUUGUGAAAACAAGCUAAUCUCAUAAACGCGGCCUCAGUUCGGAUUG
Molecule: ribosomal RNA, 504 nt
Filed under: uncultured bacterium
Lineage: Bacteria
Description: bacterial SSU rRNA
Rfam family: Bacterial small subunit ribosomal RNA
Source: RNAcentral